CGGGUGACGAGCGGCGAACGGCUGAGUAACACGUUGAUACUUGCCCCGUACUCAGGGAUAACUCACUGAAAGGUGAGCUAAUACCGGAUAGUCUCGUAAGAGUAAAGCUUUUGCGGUACGGGAGAGGUCUGCGGCCUAUCAGCUUGUUGGUAAGGUAAUUGCUUACCAAGGCUAUGACGGGUACCUGGUGUGAGAGCAUGACCAGGCAGAAUGGGACUGAGACACGGCCCAUACUCC
Molecule: ribosomal RNA, 237 nt
Filed under: uncultured bacterium
Lineage: Bacteria
Description: partial 16S ribosomal RNA
Rfam family: Bacterial small subunit ribosomal RNA
Source: RNAcentral